RNAcentral lists this unclassified non-coding RNA (283 nucleotides) under rhizosphere metagenome. RNAcentral describes it as "partial ribosomal RNA internal transcribed spacer region". The record is from RNAcentral.
GUAGGUGAACCUGCGGUUGGAUCAUUAACAAAUGAUUUGGUUUCAAACCAAAACACUGUGUGCAAUUACAUCUGUCUCUGGUGGUAAGCUUAAAUUCUCAUUCUGGCCAGUGCUCCGAACGUCGAAAUUGUGCAGAUGUUCAAAUCCCGCACGGGUUGAAAAUGCCAGGAAAGAAUGGUGCGCCACCGAAUUUUGAAUAAACAACUGUAUAUCUUAAAAUAGUCUGAAUCAUUCACAAUUUGUGCAAUGAAAACAAUUUUUAACAACGGAUCUCUUGGCUCUC